CCCUGGGUAGCACAAAAGGUUGAGCACUUGACUACUAACCAAAUGGUUGGUGGUUCGAACCUACCCAAAGGCA
RNAcentral lists this transfer RNA (73 nucleotides) under Loxodonta africana (African savanna elephant). It matches the Rfam family "tRNA". From Rfam's summary of the family: Transfer RNA (tRNA) molecules are approximately 80 nucleotides in length. Their secondary structure includes four short double-helical elements and three loops (D, anti-codon, and T loops). The record is from Rfam by way of RNAcentral. Lineage: Eukaryota; Metazoa; Chordata; Mammalia; Proboscidea; Elephantidae.